This 86-nucleotide transfer RNA is filed under the name Boseongicola sp. Its description in RNAcentral is "tRNA-Leu". It matches the Rfam family "tRNA". From Rfam's summary of the family: Transfer RNA (tRNA) molecules are approximately 80 nucleotides in length. Their secondary structure includes four short double-helical elements and three loops (D, anti-codon, and T loops). Lineage: Bacteria; Pseudomonadati; Pseudomonadota; Alphaproteobacteria; Rhodobacterales; Paracoccaceae. The record is from RNAcentral. RNAcentral also lists the same sequence under 2 other names.
GCGGGCGUGGCGGAAUGGUAGACGCAUGAGACUUAAAAUCUCUGGGGCAAUGGCCCGUGCCGGUUCAAGUCCGGCCGCCCGCACCA